RNAcentral lists this unclassified non-coding RNA (386 nucleotides) under Hevea brasiliensis (rubber tree). Lineage: Eukaryota; Viridiplantae; Streptophyta; Magnoliopsida; Malpighiales; Euphorbiaceae. The record is from RNAcentral.
CCAGCACCACCAUUUUCAGGCUCGCCGUAUUCUCGCAGGCUCGAUCUUUUUGGCACAGUUGGGUCGAGUAUGAGGUCUGGCCAGUUGGAAACAAUGGGCUCACUUUACCCUUUUCGUCCCUCGGCUCAGAAGGUUCAUCAACCAUCUUCAUUUUUAUUCUCCUCCUCAUCUUCUUCUUCCUUUUCAUUGUUGAACAAUACUAUGGUCGAUGCUACUAAUACUGCUACUACUACCAAUGAUAACAAUACAAUGACCUUAUCCAUUCCAACCACAUCUAGUAAUUUCAAUCCAGCUUCUAUUAACUAUCAACUGCCUUCUGAUAUAGGCCUUCCCAAACAACCUCAAAAUAUGUUAAACAUGCAAAACCAAAUGCUCUCAUUUCAGUC